AGGGCCCUUGCAGGCAGCCAGCAGCAGCUCUGUGGCACCACGCUCGGUUCCGAUUGAUUACGGGGGCGUGCUGCGUGGCAGGAAAGAAGGCCUCCAGGAUGGGGUGUGAGGCCAAACGACCAAGCGCUGGCCCUGCCUGUUCAGAGGGCUUGUGACUCUUCGGCCACACUUCCAACAGCUGCCCCCGGUGUGAAAUGUGCUUGAAAAAGGAACAAAGGGGCGGAGGAGGAAACAAGCCAGACUGCAGCUCCAACCUCUGCUCCCAAGAACCCUGUCAGGAGAUGUGCGUGGCCGGACUGACCUUUCGCUCCGAGGGAGUGAUGGAUGCCACUCUCAGACUCCACGGCCCAGCCAUCCCUUCAGUGGGGGACCCCUCCUCCCUGCACACCACCCCCAUUGCCCUCCGCCAUCCAUCAGCUCCUACCCGCUGGCCAGAGAGAGGUGAGGGGACGGGAGUGAUCUGAGCUAAUCAGCUAAAAUGCACGGGGCAGAGUGUGUGUGUAGAGAUCCAGUGAGCAGCCCAAAAUCCAGUGGCCCAGGGGAAUGUAGGAGGCUGAAAUGGCAAAUUGCAUGGGGUUGGGUUUCUCUAAAGGACUUGGCGGUUAUUUUGGACCCAGGGCUUUGCACUACUGUAGGGAUGUGAUUACGUGUGAGAAUGUGAGUGUGAAAGUGAGUGUGUGCAUGAGAAUGGCUGGGCGUGAUGGUGAUUGUGCCUGUGUACGACUGACCGUGAGUAUGUGAAUGAGGUCGCAUGCCUGCAUGAGAGCAUGUGAGGGUGAGAGUGAGCGUGUGCAUGAGAACAGCUGCUGGGGAAUGCAGAAAGAUGAGUGUGAAUGCAAGUGUGAUUGGGAGUGAAUAAGGAUGCGUGUUUGUGCCAGUGGGGGUGUUUGUAGCUAUGAGUGUGGGUGAGUGAGCAUGUGUGUGAGAAUGGGCGUGUGCACAAGAAUGAUGGCGAGGUGAAUGUGAACGUGUGUGAAUGUGUCCUCAUGAAUGAGUGCCCAUGCUUCUGAGUGCGUGUGUGAAUGAGUGUGACUGUGUAGGGCUAGACAUGAUUGUGUGUACGAGCCUGAAUGAGUGUUUGAUGUGUGUGAGUUCACGAACUUGUGUGCCUGUACAUGUGUAUGACCACGUAUGAGCACCCCAGUGUGAGUUCACAGUGUGUUUGUGUGUCGCAUGGUUAGAAUGUGUGAGUGAGCAAAGAGUCUGGCUUGGAGAAAGCUUCAGGGUCAAAGUGCUUGUUCCAACAGAGAUUUUUUGGGUGGGCCGAUCCUUUUUCCCCAAAUGAGUUUUUGUAAUUGCUUGAUUUACUCAGCUAGACCAAUCUACUCGGCUGCCUUUUAAUUGCUGGAAAAGUUGUGCAGUGUUUCAUGUUUUAGGGAGUGCUGAAUUGUAUAAUUAAAACACUAACGGUGUAAAUCAACAGUGCAGAAGAAAGACAGCAGCGAAUUAAGCAGGCUUCUCGGCAUCAUAAUAAAACCAAACCGGCGUGAAGUGGGUC
RNAcentral lists this long non-coding RNA (1498 nucleotides) under Gopherus agassizii (Agassiz's desert tortoise). RNAcentral's name for it is "lncRNA (ENSGAGG00000013895.1)". The record is from RNAcentral. Lineage: Eukaryota; Metazoa; Chordata; Testudines; Testudinidae.